Molecule: transfer RNA, 75 nt
Filed under: Mus musculus (house mouse)
Lineage: Eukaryota; Metazoa; Chordata; Mammalia; Rodentia; Muridae
Rfam family: tRNA
About the family: Transfer RNA (tRNA) molecules are approximately 80 nucleotides in length.
Source: Rfam by way of RNAcentral
GUCGAUGUAGUUCAGUGGCUAAGAGCAUUUUGACUGUUCUUCCAGAGGACCUGGAUUUAAUUCCCAGUAUCCACA